UAUUUCAGGACAUGGGAUCUGAAUGCUGGUCUUUGUGGUCAUACAAAGAGGGAAAGUGAUACUAAAGCCUCACAGCACUGCAGUCUGGCAUAGAGCAUGUCAGUUAGUUUCAAACAGGA
This 119-nucleotide small nucleolar RNA is filed under the name Castor canadensis (American beaver). RNAcentral's name for it is "Small nucleolar RNA SNORA61 (ENSCCNG00000002395.1)". The record is from RNAcentral. Lineage: Eukaryota; Metazoa; Chordata; Mammalia; Rodentia; Castoridae.